GCGGGGACUGUGGCUCCCAGGCCUUCCCUGAACUCUGGUCUAGCAGUUUUCUUGUCUCUCAACUUUAGUGGCCAUUGGUCACUGUACUGGAAACCUCGUGUGUCUUUCUCACAUCCUCUUGGCCUCUGAUUCCAGCUGGUGCUGCUGGGAACAGUCGGUGGCUCACUCCUGGCUGACUGCAUGCUGCCUCAGGUGCCUCUCUUUUGCUUUUUCCCCUGCGGCUCCUCUAACCAACUUUCUUGUCUGUUCCCUCUUGUCUGUCCCUGGGCACGUGCACUGUAGUUCUUAGA
This 290-nucleotide long non-coding RNA is filed under the name Homo sapiens (human). Its description in RNAcentral is "non-protein coding lnc-NRP1-5:1". Lineage: Eukaryota; Metazoa; Chordata; Mammalia; Primates; Hominidae. The record is from RNAcentral.